Molecule: ribosomal RNA, 535 nt
Filed under: Rubrivivax gelatinosus
Lineage: Bacteria; Pseudomonadati; Pseudomonadota; Betaproteobacteria; Burkholderiales; Sphaerotilaceae
Description: partial 23S ribosomal RNA
Rfam family: Bacterial large subunit ribosomal RNA
Source: RNAcentral
GCUAUUUAGGUAGCGCGUCGGAUGAUGACCUGCGGGGGUAGAGCACUGGAUGGGCUAGGGGGCCGCGAGGCUUACCAAACCUAACCAAACUCCGAAUACCGCAGAGUUUAAUCCGGCAGACAGACUUAGGGUGCUAACGUCCUAGGUCAAAAGGGAAACAACCCAGACCACCAGCUAAGGUCCCCAAGUCACGGCUAAGUGGGAAAGGAUGUGGGACGGCCAUAACAACCAGGAGGUUGGCUUAGAAGCAGCCAUCCUUUAAAGAAAGCGUAACAGCUCACUGGUCUAAUAGCUAUCCUGCGCCGAAGAUGUACCGGGGCUCAAGCCGUGCACCGAAGCUGUGGAUUUCAUCAUACGAUGAAGUGGUAGCGGAGCGUUCCGUACGCCUGUGAAGGUGGUCCGUGAGGACUGCUGGAGGUAUCGGAAGUGAGAAUGCUGACAUGAGUAGCGAAAAGAAGUGUGAGAAACACUUCCGCCGAAAGCCCAAGGGUUCCUGCGCAAGGUUAAUCCGCGCAGGGUGAGCCGGUCCCUAAGC